AGGCAAUCUGGCUGAGAUACCUGUCACAUAAGUGAUUGCCUGGGUUGACUCUACUGAUCUGAUUUGCUAAGCUGGUGUCUCUCUCACAGUUUCACAUGCUCCUCUGUCAAAGCACACUAAAUCAAAGAGGAUGAGCAUCUUGAAUAGAGAAGUACUGAUUUUUGGGUCAAGAACAUUUGACUAGCUGUACUCCCCUGGUAGAACCUCCAAACAAGCCCUCACAGUCCAUUUUCUCCUUCAUAUUGAGUUUUCAGCUACAUCACUAUAAU
RNAcentral lists this small nuclear RNA (269 nucleotides) under Nannospalax galili (Upper Galilee mountains blind mole rat). RNAcentral describes it as "7SK RNA (ENSNGAG00000006811.1)". It matches the Rfam family "7SK RNA", at positions 1 to 288 of the family's 331-position model. Rfam says of the family: 7SK was discovered as an abundant small nuclear RNA in the mid-70s but a possible function has only recently been suggested. Two independent studies have found that 7SK RNA binds the CDK9/cyclin T complex (known as elongation factor P-TEFb). Lineage: Eukaryota; Metazoa; Chordata; Mammalia; Rodentia; Spalacidae. The record is from RNAcentral.